CGGAGGAUCCAAGCGUUAUCCGGAAUCAUUGGGUUUAAAGGGUCCGUAGGCGGUUUUAUAAGUCAGUGGUGAAAUCUGGUCGCUCAACGAUCAAACGGCCAUUGAUACUGUAAGACUUGAAUUACUUGGAAGUAACUAGAAUAUGUAGUGUAGCGGUGAAAUGCUUAGAGAUUACAUGGAAUACCAAUUGCGAAGGCAGGUUACUACAAGUGGAUUGACGCUGAUGGACGAAAGCGUGGGGAGCGAACAGGAUUAGAUACCCUGGUAGUCCACGCCGUAAACGAUGGAUACUAGCUGUUCGGAGCAAUCUGAGUGGCUAAGCGAAAGUGAUAAGUAUCCCACCUGGGGAGUACGUUCGCAAGAAUG
RNAcentral lists this ribosomal RNA (366 nucleotides) under uncultured organism. Its description in RNAcentral is "bacterial SSU rRNA". It matches the Rfam family "Bacterial small subunit ribosomal RNA", at positions 526 to 896 of the family's 1533-position model. The record is from RNAcentral.